This 480-nucleotide ribosomal RNA is filed under the name uncultured bacterium. RNAcentral's name for it is "partial 16S ribosomal RNA". It matches the Rfam family "Bacterial small subunit ribosomal RNA", at positions 28 to 507 of the family's 1533-position model. The record is from RNAcentral.
GAUGAACGCUGGCGGCGUGCUUAACACAUGCAAGUCGAACGAAGCACUUUAUUUGAUUUCCUUCGGGACUGAUUAUUUUGUGACUGAGUGGCGGACGGGUGAGUAACGCGUGGGUAACCUGCCUUGUACAGGGGGAUAACAGUUGGAAACGGCUGCUAAUACCGCAUAAGCGCACAGCAUCGCAUGAUGCAGUGUGAAAAACUCCGGUGGUAUAGAUGGACCCGCGUUGGAUUAGCUAGUUGGUGAGGUAGCGGCCCACCAAGGCGACGAUCCAUAGCCGACCUGAGAGGGUGACCGGCCACAUUGGGACUGAGACACGGCCCAAACUCCUACGGGAGGCAGCAGUGGGGAAUAUUGCACAAUGGGCGAAAGCCUGAUGCAGCGACGCCGCGUGAGCGAAGAAGUAUUUCGGUAUGUAAAGCUCUAUCAGCAGGGAAGAUAAUGACGGUACCUGACUAAGAAGCACCGGCUAAAUACGUG